CCAAUAGCGUAUAUUAAAGUUGUUGCAGUUAAAAAGCUCGUAGUUGAAUUUCGGGAUCAAAUUGUCGGUCGUGCCUCGGUACGCACUGGUAUUAUUGGUUCCUACCUUCUGAAGAACCGCGAUGUCAUUAAUUUGGUGUCGUGGGGAAUCAGGACUGUUACUUUGAAAAAAUUAGAGUGUUUAAAGCAGGCUUACGCUUGAAUACAUUAGCAUGGAAUAAUGAAAUAGGACGUUUGAUUCUAUUUUGUCGGUUUCUAGGAUCGACGUAAUGAUUAAUAGGGAUAGUUGGGGGCAUUAGUAUUCAAUUGUCAGAGGUGAAAUUCUUGGAUUUAUUGAAGACUAACUACUGCGAAAGCAUUUGCCAAGGAUGUUUUCAUUAAUCAAGAACGAAAGUUAGGGGAUCGAAGACGAUCAGAUACCGUCGUAGUCUUAACCAUAAACUAUGCCGACUAGGGAUCGGAUGAUGUUAAUUUUUUAAUGACUCAUUCGGCGCCUUACG
RNAcentral lists this ribosomal RNA (499 nucleotides) under uncultured Glomeromycotina. RNAcentral's name for it is "partial small subunit ribosomal RNA". It matches the Rfam family "Eukaryotic small subunit ribosomal RNA", at positions 591 to 1092 of the family's 1831-position model. Lineage: Eukaryota; Fungi; Glomeromycota. The record is from RNAcentral.